Molecule: transfer RNA, 76 nt
Filed under: Streptococcus pyogenes
Lineage: Bacteria; Bacillati; Bacillota; Bacilli; Lactobacillales; Streptococcaceae
Description: tRNA-Asn(gtt)
Rfam family: tRNA
About the family: Transfer RNA (tRNA) molecules are approximately 80 nucleotides in length. Their secondary structure includes four short double-helical elements and three loops (D, anti-codon, and T loops). Further hydrogen bonds mediate the characteristic L-shaped molecular structure. tRNAs have two regions of fundamental functional importance: the anti-codon, which is responsible for specific mRNA codon recognition, and the 3' end, to which the tRNAs corresponding amino acid is attached (by aminoacyl-tRNA synthetases). tRNAs cope with the degeneracy of the genetic code in two manners: having more than one tRNA (with a specific anti-codon) for a particular amino acid; and 'wobble' base-pairing, i.e. permitting non-standard base-pairing at the 3rd anti-codon position.
Source: RNAcentral
UUCCGGCAUAGCUCAGUUGGUAGUAGCGCAUGACUGUUAAUCAUGAUGUCGUAGGUUCGAGUCCUACUGUCGGAGG